GACGAACGCUGGCGGCGUGCUUAACACAUGCAAGUCGAACGGAAAGGCCCUGCUUUUGUGGGGUGCUCGCGUGGCGAACGGGUGAGUAACACGUGAGUAACCUGCCCUUGACUUUGGGAUAACUUCAGGAAACUGGGGCUAAUACCGGAUAGGAGCUCCUGCUGCAUGGUGGGGGUUGGAAAGUUUCGGCGGUUGGGGAUGGACUCGCGGCUUAUCAGCUUGUUGGUGGGGUAGUGGCUUACCAAGGCUUUGACGGGUAGCCGGCCUGAGAGGGUGACCGGCCACAUUGGGACUGAGAUACGGCCCAGACGCCUACGUGAGGCAGCAGUGGAGAAUAUUGCACAAUGGGCGGAAGCCUGAUGCAGCAACGCCGGGUGCGGGAUGACGGCCUUCGGGUUGUAAACCGCUUUCGCCUGUGACGAAGCGGGAGUGACGGUAAUGGGUAAAGAAGCACCGGCUAACUACGUG
Molecule: ribosomal RNA, 468 nt
Filed under: uncultured bacterium
Lineage: Bacteria
Description: partial 16S ribosomal RNA
Rfam family: Bacterial small subunit ribosomal RNA
Source: RNAcentral